CUACAGCCAAUUAAGCCAAACAUGCUCUUUUCCCAGAUGUGCAAUGACUGCAAACAAAAGUUUCCUCAGUAGUGUACACAAUUCCAUUGCACGUGUGCAUCACGCUAAGAACAUGGAGACAGAC
RNAcentral lists this small nucleolar RNA (124 nucleotides) under Canis lupus familiaris (dog). Its description in RNAcentral is "Small nucleolar RNA SNORA70 (multiple genes)". It matches the Rfam family "Small nucleolar RNA SNORA70". From Rfam's summary of the family: snoRNA U70 seems to be exclusive to mammals and is a member of the H/ACA class of snoRNA which contain H (ANANNA) and ACA box motifs. H/ACA box snoRNAs are involved in the conversion of uridines to pseudouridines (5-ribosyluracil) a constituent of structural RNAs (transfer, ribosomal, small nuclear, and small nucleolar). The record is from Rfam by way of RNAcentral. RNAcentral also lists the same sequence under 1 other name. Lineage: Eukaryota; Metazoa; Chordata; Mammalia; Carnivora; Canidae.